UACGGAGGGUGCGAGCGUUGUCCGGAAUCACUGGGCGUAAAGGGCGCGUAGGCGGCGCGGAUAGUCGGCGGUGAAAGCCCGGAGCUCAACUCCGGGUCGGCCGUCGAUACUUCCGGGCUUGAGCACUGUAGAGGCAGAUGGAAUUCCGGGUGUAGCGGUGGAAUGCGUAGAGAUCCGGAAGAACACCGGUGGCGAAGGCGGUCUGCUGGGCAGUUGCUGACGCUGAUG
RNAcentral lists this ribosomal RNA (228 nucleotides) under uncultured bacterium. Its description in RNAcentral is "partial 16S ribosomal RNA". It matches the Rfam family "Bacterial small subunit ribosomal RNA", at positions 524 to 751 of the family's 1533-position model. The record is from RNAcentral.